RNAcentral lists this ribosomal RNA (377 nucleotides) under uncultured bacterium. RNAcentral describes it as "bacterial SSU rRNA". It matches the Rfam family "Bacterial small subunit ribosomal RNA", at positions 523 to 898 of the family's 1533-position model. The record is from RNAcentral.
AUACGUAGGGGGCGAGCGUUGUCCGGAAUUACUGGGCGUAAAGGGUGCGUAGGCGGCCCUUUAAGUCAGAUGUGAAAGCCCGCAGCUUAACUGCGGAAUUGCAUUUGAAACUGGAGGGCUUGAGUGUCGGAGAGGGUAGUGGAAUUCCCAGUGUAGCGGUGAAAUGCGUAGAUAUUGGGAGGAACACCAGUGGCGAAGGCGACUGCCUGGACGAUAACUGACGCUGAGGCACGAAAGCUAGGGGAGUAAACAGGAUUAGAUACCCUGGUAGUCCUAGCCGUAAACGAUGGGUACUAGGUGUAGGUGGUUUCGAUACCAUCUGUGCCGUAGUUAACGCAUUAAGUACCCCGCCUGGGGAGUACGUGCGCAAGCAUGAA